This 277-nucleotide ribosomal RNA is filed under the name uncultured bacterium. RNAcentral's name for it is "partial 16S ribosomal RNA". It matches the Rfam family "Bacterial small subunit ribosomal RNA", at positions 28 to 313 of the family's 1533-position model. The record is from RNAcentral.
GACGAACGCUUGCGGCGUGCCUAAGAAAUGCAAGUCGAGCGGGGGAGCAAUCCCUAGCGGCGAACGGUCGCGUAACACGUAAGCAACCUGCCCGAAAGACCGGGACAACAGUUCGAAAGGGCUGCUAAUACCGGAUGCGCCCACGCGGAGACCUCUCUGUGUGAGUAAAUCGCGCAAUCGGCUUUCGGAGGGGCUUGCGGCCUAUCAGCUAGAUGGCGGGGUAACGGCCCACCAUGGCGACGACGGGUAGCUGGUCUGAGAGGAUGGUCAGCCGGAC